This 329-nucleotide long non-coding RNA is filed under the name Homo sapiens (human). RNAcentral describes it as "non-protein coding lnc-PTAR1-1:1". Lineage: Eukaryota; Metazoa; Chordata; Mammalia; Primates; Hominidae. The record is from RNAcentral.
GUUUAAUAUGAAAUUUAAUAGCCUGGAUCAGAAAAAUGUAGGCAAGAAAUUUGGAUAUGGUACCAGCGAUAACGAUAAAUUUGCAUUCCUAUAGAAUCCUUUCUCUUCAAGACUAUAACUUUAUCAGAUUCCUGAAGAGAUUGCCAAGAACUGAACAGGGCAGCAAACCUAAAACAGAUGUAAACCAACCAGAUGCAAACGUCUGUGGGGGCAAACCUCUUUGCCAUCUCCUUUCCCUUCCUGUCUUGAUCUGUGCUCAAUUCCUGGAAAAGCCCCUACUCAGGAUCUCCUAAAGUCUCCAGUAGCAUGUUUUCCCCCACCAUUAAAAU